UAUGUUAACUCCAUCCGAAAAAAUCCCCUAAUUCUUUCACAUCGGAAAUUACGAGGCUCCUCCGAUUAGUUUCAUCGGAAAUUACCAGGCUCAUCCUCCAUAGUUUCAUCAGAAAUUUUGAGGAGAUCGAUCGAGAUUCCAGGCUCCGAAAAAUCGACAAUCUCCUCCAGGCUCGUCCAUAGUCGAAAAUCUCCUCUGUUCCGACGAUCAAAAAUCGCUUCCGGGCUCAACAACUCCUCCAUAAUCGGCCGCACCAGAGGCGGCGUGCUAAACCUUUAGAGUUUCUCCAAAUCUGAAUCGAGAUUUUAAUAGUCAUGAAUCAAGAAGGGUGCUCCAGCAAAAACAAAAAAAUAUCCAACCGCAUUCCAGCUGGAUCACUUGUAUCUUUGCGAAACCAAAAGGUUUCGUCGUUGACAACAAAAAGAACCUCUCAAGCUAUAAGGUCUAAUGAAAAUGAAGAAAGAGAAUCAGAAUCUCGAUCACUUGCAUUUUUGCGAAAUCAAUCGUUGACAACAAAAAGAACCUUUCAUGAAAAUGAAGAAAGACAAUCAGAAGCUGAGAAGGUUUCGCAAAGAUCUCAAUUGCAAGAAAAAGUGCGGCAAGUGCCAUUGAUUUCUACCUCUUCUACAGCACAAGGAGUACAAGAACAAGUGCGGCAAGUGCCAAUGGAUUCCAUCACUCCUACAUCACAAGCUGUGCAUGAACCAUCUGAAGAUUCUACCAAUCAUGAAGCAAUUGAACAAUCCGAGGAACCAGGCCCUUCCGCGCCAAAAAGAAAAAGAGGCCCUACUCAAAUGCAAAGUGUGCACGGUAGGAAGGACCAUAAAAUAAUCGUGCUAAAUGAGUUCGAUCAACCCAUUGGUCCUACUGAUGAAGUUGUGAAAGAGUUGGGUAGCUUCCUCGGCACAUUGGGAAGGAAUGAGACCUUUUGUCCUCUUACUGUAUUUGAUUGGAGAAAACGACUGAAACCAAUAUCGAGAAUCGAAAAAAGUUGAAGCAUCCACACACUGCUGGCAAAACAAGUUUUGCUCGAAUCAUCGAGGCUGAAAUGGAGAGAAUACAGUCAACUCAAGAAAGUGGAAAUGGAAGUGAUUCAGUUGACGCGUUUGCAUCAGUCAUAGGACCUGAGCACCCAGGUCGGGUAAGAUUGUAUGGACGAGGAGUUAACAAAACUGUCUUAAAAAAGAAAAAAGGAGAUUUUGGAUCCUCCGUAAAUGCUACUGAUGAGAGAAUGGAACAAAAAAUGGAGGAAAUGGAAGAGAGGAUGCAACAAAAAUUGCUGGAAAAGCUCAAUGCACAAAAGGAAAAAUUGCUGGAAGAGCUCAAUGCACAAAAGGAUGCUAUGGAACAAGAUAUUACAAUGAAUGUCGUUACACUACUUCAACGUCUCAACCCCGAUUUAAGACUUGAUCCUGACAUGCUAAUAUUCGGUGCACGCACUUGGCGAAGCUGCUUCUGCACAACAAGGUGUUAUUCAACCAUCAAUCGUCCAUCCGCUGGCAGUAACAAUCAAGGUGGAGUAGAUGAAGUAAUGGAAGGCGGAGGCAAUAAUGAAGAUCUUGACCUUACUUAAGAGAUUUUUAAAUUGUUGAUUGUUGUAGAUGCAUGUGGCGGUUUCUAGGAAUGGUUGUUAUCAAAACAUUUUAAAACUUUUGAUCUUGAAAUAUCAAAUGUAUGUACUUAUUGGUUUCAUCACUAUCUAUGGAUUUAUUAUUAGCU
Molecule: non-coding RNA, 1719 nt
Organism: Nicotiana tabacum (common tobacco)
Lineage: Eukaryota; Viridiplantae; Streptophyta; Magnoliopsida; Solanales; Solanaceae
Source: RefSeq, a predicted model, not a curated record